GAACUACUGAUGAGACCCAGCCAGGUCGAAACGGUUGUCCUGUGC
This 45-nucleotide non-coding RNA is filed under the name Echinostoma caproni. The record is from RNAcentral. Lineage: Eukaryota; Metazoa; Platyhelminthes; Trematoda; Plagiorchiida; Echinostomatidae.